Molecule: small RNA, 3338 nt
Filed under: Pan troglodytes (chimpanzee)
Lineage: Eukaryota; Metazoa; Chordata; Mammalia; Primates; Hominidae
Description: retained intron
Source: RNAcentral
CUUUAAGGCAAUUAGGCCUUGACACAUUAGGAAAUAUUGCAGCUGAGCUUUUACUGGACCCUGUUGAUUUCAAAACUACUCAUCUGAUGUUUCAUACUGUUACAAAAUGUCUAAUGUCAAGGGAUAGAUUUUUAAAGAUGAGAGGUGAGUUUUCACUGAAGUAUUUACUUUCUAAAGUAAACAAACUAUCAUUUCUUAGUAAUACAUAUUUGUAUGUUUUUCAGGCAUGGAAAUUUUGGGAAAUCUUUGCAAAGCAGAAGAUAAUGGUGUUUUAAUUUGUGAGUAUGUGGAUCAGGAUUCCUACAGAGAGAUCAUUUGUCAUCUCACUUUACCUGAUGUGCUGCUUGUAAUCUCAACACUCGAGGUGCUAUACAUGCUCACGGAAAUGGGAGAUGUUGCUUGCACAAAAAUUGCAAAAGUAGAAAAGAGCAUAGACAUGUUAGUGUGUCUGGUUUCUAUGGAUAUUCAGAUGUUUGGCCCUGAUGCACUAGCUGCGGUAAAACUCAUUGAACACCCAAGUUCCAGUCAUCAAAUGUUAUCUGAAAUUAGGCCACAAGCUAUAGAGCAAGUCCAAACCCAGACUCAUGUAGCAUCUGCCCCAGGUUAGUGUUUUCACAUAUUCUUUUUCAGUGUGGUUAUGAGUGUAUAAGAUUUGAUCCUAAGAAUAAAUUUCAAUGUGCAGUAUAGAGAACUGAUAUUUUACAGUAGAGUAGGCCAAAGUGGAAUUUGGAUAUGUACUCUAAUUUCUUAGAUAUUAUACAUUCCAGGAGUAGCAGGAUCAAGGUGAGCUCAUAGGAAGAAUAGUAUAAUAGGAAAAUUAAGUUCGGCAGGAUUUAGAGUAAUGUGAUGGAUUAGAUAUUCAUAAUUACGAUAGCUAUAAGUGCCCCAAUAGGCAUAUUUGUGAUUUUGGUCAUGGGAAAUUGACAUGCCAGGAAUAGAUUAUUCAUAUAUUACCUUAUAAUUUUCUCAGGUGAUCGUCAGGACGCGUAAGUAUAAUACUCCUAAUGUCCUUAAGUCUUGGAACCAACACCACAGAAUCAACAGCCUAGGAGAAGACACAUGCACAUAUGUAUACACACACUUACAAGCAUGUAUACCUGCAUUUAUGCACCUUUCCUAGUGUCUCUUAGCUCAAUUCUGUUUAGCUCAACUGUAAUUAUAGUACAGACAUGUCUAAUAACCAGACUUCAGUCCUUGAACUCCUUCCAGUGGCUCAUUAUGAGUCAUCGUUUUUUUAUAUUUUACCACCCUUAACCUUUUUUUAGAGUGCUUUCUCUACCUUGGUUUAUACUAAAAAUACAUAUUUCAUCUCACCUACCCUUCCAUUUCCUAUCCUCUCACCUCCUGCUGUCCCCAAGACACUUAUCUUUCUUUAUAUUUUUUGAAUGGAGGAUGCUCGUGUCCUCAAUUGAUCUUAAUUCUCACUUUGCAAUUAAUACAGAGGCUGUGUAGAAUGAAUUUCUUCAAUUUCUUACUCCUUCAGUUACAAACUUAUUAGCAUCUGGACUCAUUUUCCUUUAGCUUCUGCUCAUUUCAGAAAGAGAUGCUAAUUUCUUCUGAAACUUACUCUGAAUAUCAGUCUUUCCCAUCUCCAUGUUCCCAUAUCUUAAAUCUCUUUUUACUUACUCACUUUUUCCUUUCAGCUAGAAAUGCAUUUAGGUCUCUUAUCCUCCCUCGCUAGCCCCAAACCAAAAAUUUCAUUAUCCUUAAUCUUUAGCCAUCACAUCCAUUCAUCAGAUCUUGUUGAGUCUUCCUAAAUACCUGGCCUUUUCAAUUGCCAGUGCUUAUGAAUGAGAUUGAACUCUCAUCAUCUCUAGCUAUCUGUUCUCACAUUCAUUCAUGGUCCCAAUUUGUCUUCUACUCCAACUUGUAGUAUGAAAAUUAUGUACUCUAUGCAAAGUAUGUAAUAAGUAUCACAUAUUUCAUUGAUUUCCAUUAUGUCCUUCUGAAAUGUAUAGAUUUGUGUCAUAUGUUCACUCAACUAACUUGGAUCCACCUAACAAAAGUGGACAAAUAACAGAAGGCACAAAAUAGAUAAUUUUGACUGCCAGUCUAUUUAAUGAGCUUUCAACUACAGGUAAUAGAUGUUAAACAGCCAAUUUAUAUUGGGGAAUCUUUGGUCAGAAUAUUAAUGGUUUCUCAACCUUGAGAAAGAAAUGAAACUGUUCGUAUUGCUAGUUAAGUGGGAGGUGGGAAUGUUUUUUACCAUCAAAGAAGAAACUAAAGAUUAAAUUAAUUGAGGGACAUAAAGGAGCAGUGUUAGAGAAAUUGAUAAAAUGUCAGUGAAUACUCAAGGGUGAUUUGAUGAAGACUAUUUUUUGCUGCGUGGUUAGCCUUUGACCUUCACAGUUCUUUUGACCUCAGCAAAUGAACCUACUUCUCAAUCUAAAAUUUGGUCCUCAUUUGGCAAAUGAAUGAAUUUAAACAUUGAGAAUUUGUGGCUUAUUCAUUUAUGUAGUAAUUAAUUCAUUCAUAGAGAUGGGACUAGACUGCUCGGGAUUGAAAAGAGUUAAUUUUCAGCUGGAGAGCACUUUAUUACUUGUGCUCUCCCUGAAUGACAACUUUAAAUUGUUUGAUUGGUUAUCCUUUGUGGUUUAGCUAUUGCCUGCAUAGUUUAAUGCUGCUUUUUUAUGGAAUUACCAUCUUUAAACUUUUUGCUCACUUCCCUCAAUCCCUCUGAAAACUUUUAUAACCUUUUACCCAUUUUUAGGUUAACAUCUAAAUCUCUAUCAUAAUUUAAAUAGUUGCAAAGUAUGUAUUGUCUUGAUGUAUAUUAAACUACAUUUUUAAAAGAAAACAAUUACAGUGCUUUUUGUAUGCAGUGGAAUCUUGAUACCAUCAUUCAUUUUUUAAAAUACACAAACUCUUUAACAUCAGAAAUUUUAUAAUAUUCCUCUUUCACCUUGAACUUGUAUUCCAGUAUCCUCACAAGAGUUUUAUCCUAAUAUAAUACAUUUUAUGUUUGAGAUUCUUUUUUAUUCAUCACCCUGUCAAUACUUUUUAGUUACAAAAUAGACAUUUUUAAAAUUUUUCAAUUCCUUGUUAUUCUUUAAAGCUCUAAAUUUUAAAAAUUUCAUUUGGCCAGGCACUGUGGCUUACGCCUAUAAUCCCAGCACUUUGGGAGGCUGAGGCAGAAGGAUCACUGGAGGCCAGGAGUUUGAGACCAGCCUGGCAACAUAGUGAGAUUCCAUCUCUACAAAAUCAGGAAAAAAAUUAGCUGGGCAUGGUGAUGCAUGCGUGUAGUCCCAGCUUGGGCCCAGGGAGUCAAAGGCCGUAGUGAGCUAUGAAUGUGUCACUGCAUCCACCUUAGGCAAUAGAGCAAGAACCUGGUCUAUCUC